UGAGGAAUAUUGGUCAAUGGACGGAAGUCUGAACCAGCCAAGUAGCGUGCAGGAUGACGGCCCUAUGGGUUGUAAACUGCUUUUGUAUGGGGAUAAAGUUAGGGACGUGUCCCUAUUUGCAGGUACCAUAUGAAUAAGGACCGGCUAAUUCCGUGCCAGCAGCCGCGGUAAUACGGAAGGUUCAGGCGUUAUCCGGAUUUAUUGGGUUUAAAGGGAGCGUAGGCUGGAGAUUAAGUGUGUUGUGAAAUGUAGACGCUCAACGUCUGACCUGCAGCGCAUACUGGUUUCCUUGAGUACGCACAACGUUGGCGGAAUUCGUCGUGUAGCGGUGAAAUGCUUAGAUAUGACGAAGAACUCCGAUUGCGAAGGCAGCUGACGGGAGCGCAACUGACGCUUAAGCUCGAAGGUGCGGGUAUCAAACAGGAUUAGAUACCCUGGUAGUCCGCACAGUAAACGAUGGAUGCCCGCUGUUGGUACCUGGUAUCAGCGGCUAAGCGAAAGCAUUAAGCAUCCCACCUGGGGAGUACGCCGGCAACGGUG
RNAcentral lists this ribosomal RNA (540 nucleotides) under uncultured bacterium. RNAcentral describes it as "bacterial SSU rRNA". It matches the Rfam family "Bacterial small subunit ribosomal RNA", at positions 355 to 896 of the family's 1533-position model. The record is from RNAcentral.